RNAcentral lists this ribosomal RNA (857 nucleotides) under Cryptodiaporthe vepris. RNAcentral's name for it is "eukaryotic LSU rRNA". It matches the Rfam family "Eukaryotic large subunit ribosomal RNA", at positions 56 to 943 of the family's 3401-position model. The record is from RNAcentral. Lineage: Eukaryota; Fungi; Ascomycota; Sordariomycetes; Diaporthales; Gnomoniaceae.
GAAAAGAAACCAACAGGGAUUGCCCUAGUAACGGCGAGUGAAGCGGCAACAGCUCAAAUUUGAAAUCUGGCUUCGGCCCGAGUUGUAAUUUGCAGAGGAUGUUUCUGGCGCGGUGCCUUCCGAGUUCCCUGGAACGGGACGCCACAGAGGGUGAGAGCCCCGUAUGGUAGGACACCAAGCCUGUGUGAAACUCCUUCGACGAGUCGAGUAGUUUGGGAAUGCUGCUCUAAAUGGGAGGUAAAUCUCUUCUAAAGCUAAAUACCGGCCAGAGACCGAUAGCGCACAAGUAGAGUGAUCGAAAGAUGAAAAGCACCUUGAAAAGGGGGUUAAACAGUACGUGAAAUUGUUGAAAGGGAAGCGCUCAUGACCAGACUUGUGCCGGGCGGCUCAUCAGGGGUUCUCCCCUGUGUAUUCCGCCCGGCUCAGGCCAGCAUCGGUUCUCGUUGGGGGAUAAGAACGGUAGGAACGUGGCUCCCUUUCGGGGGAGUGUUAUAGCCUGCCGUACGAUACCCUAGUGGGGACCGAGGUUCGCGCUCCGCAAGGAUGCUGGCGUAAUGGUCAUCAGCGACCCGUCUUGAAACACGGACCAAGGAGUCGUCCAUUAGAGCGAGCGUUUGGGUGUAAAACCCGCACGCGUAAUGAAAGUGAAAUUAGGUGAGAGCUUCGGCGCAUCAUCGACCGAUCCUGAUGUUCUCGGAAGGAUUUGAGUAAGAGUUUUAACGGACGGACCCGAAAGACAGUGAACUAUGCUUGUAUAGGGUGAAGCCAGAGGAAACUCUGGUGGAGGCUCGCAGCGGUUCUGACGUGCAAAUCGAUCGUCAAAUAUGAGCAUGGGGGCGAAAGACUAAUCGAACUGU